AUGGUGAGGAUGUCCAGACCAUUAUUCCUCGAUUGGGCCUGGAGACCCCUCUGCAGCCCCUCCCAAUCUCUCCCACUGACCUACGGACCAGAAGGCUGGAUUUUGCAAUGGAAGGGAACUUGCAGGCAGCAGACAGCUCUGCACUGUCCCUUUGAUUUUCCUCAGGCACCUCUGAGAGGGAGACACACUCUCAGCCAAGUACCCAACAAGGGACAUGAGAAGGCUUCUGCUGUGCAGCUGCCAGAGAAACAGGGGACAGAUCAAAGCAGGAGAGGACCAACAUCUGCGGUAACCAAAGCAAGGACAAGUUACCCUGAGUCAGAAACCUUCAUUGUGUAUUUGUGCAGUUACUUUUGGAACUCAAGUAAAGGAGUUUACAUGUCAGGUAAAGAU
RNAcentral lists this long non-coding RNA (393 nucleotides) under Homo sapiens (human). RNAcentral's name for it is "long intergenic non-protein coding RNA 2898 (ENSG00000205086.8)". The record is from RNAcentral. Lineage: Eukaryota; Metazoa; Chordata; Mammalia; Primates; Hominidae.